GAUAGAUUCCUUGUUAAUUAAAUAUAUCUCAAAUAUUCGAUGAGUCUGUUCACCUGUCUGUAAUACGCUUCCUGUUCUUAAUCCUAAUUUUCUAGUCAUUCUUAACCUGAACUCGCAAGGUGUAUAUAAUCAACUACAGAUGCUUCCAAGCCACGUUUCUUUCUUCCUUUUUCAUCUUUAGAUGGGCCAACGCAUAUCCUUUCCACACUUUCUUUCUUUAAAGCUUAAAACUAUUGACUUUUCUUUAAAGCUUAAAACUAUCUUUUUCUUGAGACUUUGAAGGCAAUAAAUUCAUUCUUAAUCAAAAUAUAGGAAAAUUAUUCUAAAACAUGAAACACUAACGUUGAUUACAUGUCUCUCUCACCAGGGUAUGUCUUCUAUUUCUAAGAAUGUCGGGGCCAAGACAGAGACAAUCGAAGCUUCUAGCAUCAAUUUCCAUAAAUUGCGGGUUCUGUGUUUAACCACCGGAAGUCACUCUGUUCAUGCACGAGAUUUGACUCAGCCACUGACAGGAAAGCAGCUUCCAACAUCUUCUUCUUCUUCUUUUCUCAAUGUUCCUUCUAACAUGCCUACUCGUGUCAUGUUCAAUUGUAGGCAUGGUCCGAGUAACAGAUGCCGUAGGUGCCCUCACAUGGCCGACCAUUGAUACUUGCAGAGCUUCCUCUUCGUAG
RNAcentral lists this unclassified non-coding RNA (671 nucleotides) under Hevea brasiliensis (rubber tree). Lineage: Eukaryota; Viridiplantae; Streptophyta; Magnoliopsida; Malpighiales; Euphorbiaceae. The record is from RNAcentral.